GACGAACGCUGGCGGCGUGCUUAAUACAUGCAAGUCGAACGGAAAGGCCCUGCUCUUGUUGCUUUCUUGUUUGCCGAACGGGUGAGUAACACGCGUGUAACCCCCCCUUGACUUUGUGAUAUCUUUAGGAAACUCGGGCUCUUAUCGCAUAUGAUCUUCUGCUGCAUGUUGUUGGUUGGAAAGUUUCGGCGGUUCGGGAUGGUCUGGCUGCUUACGAGCUUGUUUGUCGGGUAGUUACUUACCAAGGUUUAGACGGGUAGCCUGCCUGAGAGGGUGAACGGGGACAAUGGGACUGAGAGACGGAGCAGAAGCGUACGGGAGGCAGCAGGGGGGAAUAUUGCACAGUGGGGGGAAGCCUGAGAUAGCAACGUCGGGUGCGGGAUGAUGGGCUUCGGGUUGAAAACAGAUUUGGAAGGAGACGAAGAGUGAGUGACGGUAAUGGGUAAGGAAGCACCGGCUAACUACGUG
This 468-nucleotide ribosomal RNA is filed under the name uncultured bacterium. RNAcentral describes it as "partial 16S ribosomal RNA". It matches the Rfam family "Bacterial small subunit ribosomal RNA", at positions 28 to 507 of the family's 1533-position model. The record is from RNAcentral.